GACCAUUUUCCCUUGAGUAUAAAUCAAAUCCAAAAAAAAGAAAGAAGUUCUGCAAAAUUUGAAUAGGAAAGUAUGAAAAUGAAUUGCAAGACUUCCUUUUGCAAGUAGUGUCCCUUUAUUCAGGUACCCAACGUGUUGAAACAUUGCUGUUGUACACUUCGGGCACCUGAAUAAAGGGACACUACUUCCAAAAAGAAGUGCUGGAACUUGCGCCCUUGUGUGGUUG
This is a non-coding RNA of Pelobates cultripes (western spadefoot toad), 226 nucleotides long. The record is from the annotation of a GenBank genome assembly. Lineage: Eukaryota; Metazoa; Chordata; Amphibia; Anura; Pelobatidae.